RNAcentral lists this transfer RNA (87 nucleotides) under Rhodopseudomonas palustris. RNAcentral's name for it is "tRNA-Leu". It matches the Rfam family "tRNA". Rfam says of the family: Transfer RNA (tRNA) molecules are approximately 80 nucleotides in length. Their secondary structure includes four short double-helical elements and three loops (D, anti-codon, and T loops). Further hydrogen bonds mediate the characteristic L-shaped molecular structure. tRNAs have two regions of fundamental functional importance: the anti-codon, which is responsible for specific mRNA codon recognition, and the 3' end, to which the tRNAs corresponding amino acid is attached (by aminoacyl-tRNA synthetases). tRNAs cope with the degeneracy of the genetic code in two manners: having more than one tRNA (with a specific anti-codon) for a particular amino acid; and 'wobble' base-pairing, i.e. permitting non-standard base-pairing at the 3rd anti-codon position. Lineage: Bacteria; Pseudomonadati; Pseudomonadota; Alphaproteobacteria; Hyphomicrobiales; Nitrobacteraceae. The record is from RNAcentral. RNAcentral also lists the same sequence under 1 other name.
GCCGGGGUGGCGAAACUGGUAGACGCAUCAGACUCAAAAUCUGACGGUGGAAACACCGUGCCGGUUCGAUUCCGGCUCCCGGUACCA